GCCCUUUCCCUGUCAAUCUUUCUGAUAGGCAAGUUAUCUAAAGUUUUCAAUUGGGGCAAUGAAGCUAUCAUGUAUUCUUUAUAAUGCUUCUCAUAGCAUAUGGGUGAAGCAUGACAAGAAAUAUACUUCAAAGCAACAUCUGUCAUAUGCCUUGUGAAAGCACCAGCCAAGGAUUCUUCAUUGUGAUUGCACAUAGUGAUAAAAGGCACCUCAUCCUGCAGAUUGACUUGUCUGUUCCACCCUGAAGAUUCAUUGGAC
Molecule: unclassified non-coding RNA, 258 nt
Filed under: Hevea brasiliensis (rubber tree)
Lineage: Eukaryota; Viridiplantae; Streptophyta; Magnoliopsida; Malpighiales; Euphorbiaceae
Source: RNAcentral